Long non-coding RNA from Grammomys surdaster, 400 nucleotides. RefSeq lists it as uncharacterized. NCBI's taxonomy places the organism in Eukaryota, Metazoa, Chordata, Mammalia, Rodentia, Muridae. The transcript has 3 exons. The record is from RefSeq and is a predicted model, not a curated record.
CCCUGGGGACUGUCUUACUACACCUCAGCCCAAGGUGUUCAGCUGAGUGACCAACGCACACCAGGUGCCGUGUGUGGUACUUGCAGGAGCCAUGAACAUAAAAUGCCAAAUAUGGUCCAAGCUUCCUCUUCUCUGGCUGACUGGCCUGCCCUAAGGCCUGAACUGGAACUGAAAUAUUGGAAGCUGCGCCCAAGAGAAGCAGAUGCCUGACUUUCACAUCCACCAUCUGAUCAGAUCCGACCUCUACCCUCAGUUUCUAGGGAAGAGGAGAGUCCACCUCUCCAAGCGGGUCCUUACAGAGCAGGUGGCAUUUUAGGAAUGUUAUUCGGCGCAGGCACCUGUCAUAGGCUCUGCUGGAUUGUGACCUCCCUCCCGCUCCCUCCCCCUCGCUCGCGGCGAC